This 903-nucleotide ribosomal RNA is filed under the name Kampylaster incurvatus. RNAcentral describes it as "partial 16S ribosomal RNA". It matches the Rfam family "Bacterial large subunit ribosomal RNA", at positions 1118 to 2597 of the family's 2925-position model. The record is from RNAcentral. Lineage: Eukaryota; Metazoa; Echinodermata; Asteroidea; Valvatida; Asterinidae.
CAGCUUUAUAGAUGGCGUUAAAGCUUAUUUAGUACAAGACAGUACAAAGGAUUUUUGUAAAAUAAUUCUAAAUUGUAAAAAAUUUAUAGGAAAAUUUCAUUUUAAUGAAAGUUAUAAUGUUAAAAUUAGUAGAGAAUAAAGUGAUAUUACUUGUAAAUUAAUCAAUCCUAACGUUGGAUGGAACAAUAAUUUUAAAUCAGGAAAUUAGUUUGUUUUAAUUGUCUGCUAACUCAAGAAAUAUAACAAUAAAAUAAUUAAGGGAAAGGAACUCGGCAAAUAAAUAUUUNNNNNNNNNNNNNNNNNNNNCGCUCUUUGUAAAGAAUCUAAUAUAUAAAGGGUACUGCCUGCCCAGUGACUUAGUUAAAUGGCCGCGGUAUUUUGACCGUGCAAAGGUAGCAUAAUCAUUUGCCUCUUAAAUGGGGGCUGGUAUGAAUGGCAAGACGGAAAUUAGGCUGUCUCUCUCUUAUAUUUUGAAAUUAAUAUUUUUGUGAAGAAGCAAAAAUGGAGCCGUAGGACGAGAAGACCCUAUCGAGCUUUAGUAUAUAUAAAAUACAAAUUUAUUUAUUCUGUUUUGUUGCUAAUAUAAUUGUUAAUAACAGUUUUUAUGUUUUUACUCUUAGAGACAGGAAAAGUUGUGAAUUUGAUACUUAGGUUGGGGCAACCACGGAGAAUAAAUAUCCUCCGUUAGUUUAUUGAGAAAAAAAAUAUUUUUUCAAUAUAUUUUUGUUUAAUAAAUGAUCCAUCUUUAAUGGUGAUCAAAAGAAUAAGUUACCGUAGGGAUAACAGCGUAAUUUUUUUGGAGAGUUCAUAUUGAUAAAAAAGUUUGCGACCUCGAUGUUGGAUCGGGAUAUCCUGGGGAUGUAGCAGUUCCUAAUGGUUGGUCUGUUCGACCAUUAAAAUCCU